GCCCGUGUAGCUCAGAUGGUAGAGCAGCUGCCUUGUAAGCGGAUGGUCCGGGGUUCGAUCCCUCGCUAGGGCACCA
RNAcentral lists this transfer RNA (76 nucleotides) under Ochrobactrum soli. Its description in RNAcentral is "Ochrobactrum sp. BO-7 tRNA-Thr". It matches the Rfam family "tRNA". From Rfam's summary of the family: Transfer RNA (tRNA) molecules are approximately 80 nucleotides in length. The record is from RNAcentral. Lineage: Bacteria; Pseudomonadati; Pseudomonadota; Alphaproteobacteria; Hyphomicrobiales; Brucellaceae.